This 464-nucleotide ribosomal RNA is filed under the name uncultured Klebsiella sp. RNAcentral's name for it is "bacterial SSU rRNA". It matches the Rfam family "Bacterial small subunit ribosomal RNA", at positions 338 to 795 of the family's 1533-position model. The record is from RNAcentral. Lineage: Bacteria; Pseudomonadati; Pseudomonadota; Gammaproteobacteria; Enterobacterales; Enterobacteriaceae.
CCUACGGGUGGCAGCAGUGGGGAAUAUUGCACAAUGGGCACAAGCCUGAUGCAGCCAUGCCGCGUGUGUGAAGAAGGCCUUCGGGUUGUAAAGCACUUUCAGCGGGGAGGAAGGCGGUGAGGUUAAUAACCUCAUCGAUUGACGUUACCCGCAGAAGAAGCACCGGCUAACUCCGUGCCAGCAGCCGCGGUAAUACGGAGGGUGCAAGCGUUAAUCGGAAUUACUGGGCGUAAAGCGCACGCAGGCGGUCUGUCAAGUCGGAUGUGAAAUCCCCGGGCUCAACCUGGGAACUGCAUUCGAAACUGGCAGGCUAGAGUCUUGUAGAGGGGGGUAGAAUUCCAGGUGUAGCGGUGAAAUGCGUAGAGAUCUGGAGGAAUACCGGUGGCGAAGGCGGCCCCCUGGACAAAGACUGACGCUCAGGUGCGAAAGCGUGGGGAGCAAACAGGAUUAGAUACCCGGUAGUC